AGAGUUUGAUCAUGGCUCAGGACGAACGCUGGCGGCGUGCGUAAUACAUGCAAGUUGAACGAUGAUUUCUGGUACUUGUAUCAGAAUGAAGAGUAGCGAACGGGUGAGUAACGCGUGGGUAACCUACCUCUUAGCGGGGGACAACUAUUGGACAACGAUAGCUAAUACCGCAUAACAAUAUUAAACACAUGUUUAAUAUUUGAAAGUACCAAUUGGUACACUAGGAGAUGGACCCGCGUUGUAUUAGCUAGUUGGUAGUGUAAUGGACUACCAAGGCGAUGAUACAUAGCCGACCUGAGAGGGUGAUCGGCCACAUUGGGACUGAGACACGGCCCAAACUCCUACGGGAGGCAGCAGUAGGGAAUCUUCGGCAAUGGACGAAAGUCUGACCGAGCAACGCCGCGUGAGUGAAGAAGGUUUUCGGAUCGUAAAACUCUGUUGUUAGAGAAGAACGUUGUGUAGAGUGGAAAAUUACACAAGUGACGGUAUCUAACCAGAAAGGGACGGCUAACUACGUGCCAGCAGCCGCGGUCAAUACGUAGGUCCCGAGCGUUGUCCGGAUUUAUUGGGCGUAAAGCGAGCGCAGGUGGUUUAAUAAGUCUGAUGUAAAAGGCAGUGGCUCAACCAUUGUGUGCAUUGGAAACUGUUAGACUUGAGUGCAGUAGAGGAGAGUGGAAUUCCAUGUGUAGCGGUGAAAUGCGUAGAUAUAUGGAGGCAACACCGGUGGCGAAAGCGGCUCUCUGGACUGUAACUGACACUGAGGCUCGAAAGCGUGGGUAGCAAACAGGAUUAGAUACCCUGGUAGUCCACGCCGUAAACGAUGAGUGCUAGUUGUUUGGGGCUAUCCAGCCCUAAGUGACGCAGCA
RNAcentral lists this ribosomal RNA (866 nucleotides) under uncultured bacterium. RNAcentral describes it as "bacterial SSU rRNA". It matches the Rfam family "Bacterial small subunit ribosomal RNA", at positions 8 to 853 of the family's 1533-position model. The record is from RNAcentral.